UAUUGAUGAUGAAGGCAAAGAUGUCGAAGAAAAUCAGUGAGUUGAGAGAAACACAAAAGGGCAAAGGUAAGCAAUUCUGAACAAUAACCCAAAACCUUACUUUAAUAGAUAUAUUACACCAACUAAAGAACACAAUCAUACACAGGCACAUGAGAAAAAUCAGAUGCUAUUCCGACAUACACAAGGCCGGCAAAUUCACGAAAAAUGCCUCACUUACGUCAUAUGGAUUUGGGCUUUCAGGCCCACCGUCGGGAAAACAAAACAGUUAGUUUUCUAGCAAUAAUAUAUCUUCCUUUUUAGUCCUAAAUGCCCAAACAAACUCAACUCACGUAUGCACAAUGCAACAGAGAUUUUUUUCCAAUUUUUCAAUAUCUUAUAAUCUUUUAUUUUUUAAUCUUUAUUUAAAAAUGAUAUUUAUUUAUUAAUCACAUGUUUCAUUAUUAUUUUUAUUUUUUCCUCAAUACUUGAGUUUAAGGAUAAAUAUCAUCUAAAAAUUAAAAUACAUGUUAGUUUUAUUUGGCUAAAUAAAAAUUUAUAUUAACAUACUUUUGUUGGUACAAAGUGUAUGAAUUACAUAUGAGUAUAUGACAUGAUUUGAUAUGGUUUUUGAUUAAGUAUCUUGAGAUGCUACUGAGCUGUAUCCGCUGUGUCUGGUAUGAAGUGCCCGUCUUAAAGCUAUAUGGUUUACGUUCUUGAUUUUUCCAACAAAACAAAAAAUCACCUAUAUAUCGAAACAUGAACAUUAUUUAAAACAACACUUAAACAACAAACAAAUGAACCAACGUGCAAGCGUGUAAGUAAAUCAGUGACCACAGCAAAACGCAACUUAAUAUGAUAUCUCACUUGCAUACAUGAGAUAGAGCACAACUCCGUCAAUGACCCCGCGCUUGCGCGGGGGCUCCGCCACUAGUAAUACUAAUAUCAACAUAGUUAAUGAAUGUUAAGGUAUAUAUUAGCCUAUUUAAAUCAUAUACUGUUUUUUUAACAAUCAUACUAGAUUCUGACCCGCCCUUCGAAGGGCGGGUAUAUUUUUGUUUUUAUUUUUUUGAAACAUUUAAUUUUUAUAUUUAUAUUUUGUAAUCAUAUUUGUGUUUUUCUGCAAUCAUAUUUGUGUUUAAUCAUAAUUUAGUUAAAUUUAAUUUAAUUUUUGGUAGUUGUAUUAAAUAUGUCAAGUUGCA
RNAcentral lists this long non-coding RNA (1178 nucleotides) under Brassica rapa (field mustard). RNAcentral describes it as "long non-coding RNA (BRAP_LNC007942)". The record is from RNAcentral. Lineage: Eukaryota; Viridiplantae; Streptophyta; Magnoliopsida; Brassicales; Brassicaceae.